AUAACACGUUACGGCAGAACUUGAAAUGGAAAACCGGAAGAGUGCAGGGUCAUGUAAGAUGAACUAUCUUAUCCUGGCACUUUGGCAUGUUUGAAUGUGGAAGGCCUUGAAAUUGGGAUGAAGAAGGCCAGGGAAUGUCACAGAAAU
This 147-nucleotide long non-coding RNA is filed under the name Mizuhopecten yessoensis (Yesso scallop). RNAcentral's name for it is "uncharacterized LOC110440485". Lineage: Eukaryota; Metazoa; Mollusca; Bivalvia; Pectinida; Pectinidae. The record is from RNAcentral.